GACGAACGCUGGCGGCGUGCCUAACACAUGCAAGUCGAACGAACGGCGAGAAGCUUGCUUCUCAAAGUUAGUGGCGGACGGGUGAGUAACGCGUGAGUAACCUGCCUUCAGGAGGGGGACAACAUCUCGAAAGGGGUGCUAAUACCGCAUAAUAUUGUUUUAUCGCAUGGUAAAACAAUCAAAGAUUUAUCGCCUGAAGAUGGACUCGCGUCUGAUUAGCUAGUUGGUGAGGUAAUGGCUCACCAAGGCGACGAUCAGUAGCCGGUCUGAGAGGAUGAACGGCCACAUUGGGACUGAGAUACGGCCCAGACUCCUACGGGAGGCAGCAGUGGGGAAUAUUGGGCAAUGGGGGGAAACCCUGACCCAGCAACGCCGCGUGAAGGAGAA
RNAcentral lists this ribosomal RNA (387 nucleotides) under uncultured bacterium. RNAcentral's name for it is "bacterial SSU rRNA". It matches the Rfam family "Bacterial small subunit ribosomal RNA", at positions 28 to 411 of the family's 1533-position model. The record is from RNAcentral.